This 240-nucleotide ribosomal RNA is filed under the name uncultured bacterium. Its description in RNAcentral is "partial 16S ribosomal RNA". It matches the Rfam family "Bacterial small subunit ribosomal RNA", at positions 15 to 252 of the family's 1533-position model. The record is from RNAcentral.
GAUCAUGGCUCAGGAUGAACGCUGGCGGCGUGCUUAACACAUUCAAGUCGAACGGAGAACGGGGAGCUUGCUCCCCGGGAUCAGUGGCGGACGGGUGAGUAACGCGUGAGCAACCUGCCUGUGUGUGGGGGAUAACACCCGGAAACGGGUGCUAAUACCGGAUAACGCAACGGAGCCGCAUGACUUUGUUGCCAAAGAUAUAUUGCGCACAGAUGGGCUCGCGUCUGAUUAGAUAGUUGG